RNAcentral lists this unclassified non-coding RNA (160 nucleotides) under uncultured Neonectria. RNAcentral's name for it is "sequence contains ITS2". The record is from RNAcentral. Lineage: Eukaryota; Fungi; Ascomycota; Sordariomycetes; Hypocreales; Nectriaceae.
CAACCCUCAAGCCCCCGGGCUUGGUGUUGGGGAUCGGCGAGCCUCCGCGCCCGCCGUCCCCCAAAUCUAGUGGCGGUCUCGCUGUAGCUUCCCCUGCGUAGUAGCACACCCCGCCCUGGGAAACAGCGCGGCCACGCCGUUAAACCCCCAACUUCUGAAA